CGGAUUAGAUACCCUGGUAGUCCACGCCCUAAACGAUGCAUAUUUGGUGUGGGCAGUUCAUUCUGUCCGUGCCGGAGCUAACGCGUUAAAUAUGCCGCCUGGGGAGUACAGUCGCAAGGCUGAAACUCAAAGGAAUUGACGGGGGCCCGCACAAGCGGUGGAGCAUGUGGUUCAAUUCGACGCAACGCGAAGAACCUUACCUGGGCUCGAACGGCUGGUUAACGGAGGUGGAAACAUCUUUACCCCGCAAGGGGAUCCAGUCGAGGUGCUGCAUGGCUGUCGUCAGCUCGUGUCGUGAGAUGUUGGGUUAAGUCCCGCAACGAGCGCAACCCUUGUCCUGUGUUGCCAUCAUUUAGUUGGGAACUCGCAGGAGACCGCCAGCGAUAAGCUGGAGGAAGGUGGGGAUGACGUCAAGUCCUCAUGGCCUUUAUGUCCAGGGCUACACACGUGCUACAAUGGACGGUACAAAGCGCAGCUAACCCGCGAGGGGGAGCCAAUCGCAGAAAACCGUUCUCAGUUCGGAUUGCAGGCUGCAACUCGCCUGCAUGAAGCUGGAAUCGCUAGUAAUGGCAGAUCAGCAUGCUGCCGUGAAUACGUUCCCGGGCCUUGUACACACCGCCCGUCACAUCACGAAAGUGGAUUGUACUAGAAGUCUGCACGCUGACCCGCAAGGGGAGCAGCGGCCCAAGGUAUGAUUCAUGAUUGGGGUGAAGUCGUAACAAG
This 723-nucleotide ribosomal RNA is filed under the name uncultured bacterium. RNAcentral's name for it is "bacterial SSU rRNA". It matches the Rfam family "Bacterial small subunit ribosomal RNA", at positions 774 to 1495 of the family's 1533-position model. The record is from RNAcentral.